GGGGGAAUAGCUCAGUGGUAGAGCGCUGGAUUCCAGUCCCAGCGGUCGGGGGUUCGAUCCCCUCUUUUCUCA
Molecule: transfer RNA, 72 nt
Filed under: Phytophthora infestans (potato late blight agent)
Lineage: Eukaryota; Oomycota; Peronosporomycetes; Peronosporales; Peronosporaceae
Also listed under: 1 other name
Rfam family: tRNA
About the family: Transfer RNA (tRNA) molecules are approximately 80 nucleotides in length. Their secondary structure includes four short double-helical elements and three loops (D, anti-codon, and T loops).
Source: Rfam by way of RNAcentral